Molecule: long non-coding RNA, 1804 nt
Filed under: Salmo salar (Atlantic salmon)
Lineage: Eukaryota; Metazoa; Chordata; Actinopteri; Salmoniformes; Salmonidae
Description: lncRNA (ENSSSAG00000108576.1)
Source: RNAcentral
GGACCCUUCUACACUAUGUCAGGACCCUUCUCCACUAUGUCAGGACCCUUUUACACUAUGUCAGGAUCAUUCUACAAUUAGGAAAUCUUCUACACUAUGUCAGGACCCUUCUCCACUAUGUCAGGACCCUUUUACACUAUGUCAGGACCCUUCUACAAUGUAGGAAAUCUUCUACACUAUGUCAGGACCCUUCUCCACUAUGUCAGGACCCUUUUACACUAUGUCAGGAUCAUUCUACAAUGUAGGAAAUCUUCUACACUAUGUCAGGACCCUUCUCCACUAUGUCAGGACCCUUUUACACUAUGUCAGGAUCAUUCUACAAUUAGGAAAUCUUCUACACUAUGUCAGGACCCUUCUCCACUAUGUCAGUACCCUUCUCCACUAUGUCAGGACCCUUCUAAUCUAUGUCAGGACCCUUCUACACUAUGUCAGGACCCUUCUACACUUUAGGAAAUCUUCUACACUAGAAGAGAAAGAGAAAGAGGAAACAGAGAGGAGGAAAGAGAGAGAGAACGAGAGGAGGAGAGAGAGAGAGAGCGAGAGAGAGAGAAAGAGAGAAAGAAACUGAGAGAGGAGGAGAGAGAGGUGAGGCAAUGAAGGAUAGAGGAGUGAGAGGAAGAUUGUGCCAGAACUCAGUGAGUGCAGCUAAAUCUCUCAGAGCUCAGUCAAUAAAACAGAGGGCUCUUAGAAAACAAACCCUUCUCCACUAUGUCAGGACCCUUCUAUGCUAUGUCAGGACCCUUCUACACUAUGUCAGGACCCUUCUAAUCUAUGUCAGGACCCUUCUACACUAUGUCUGGACCCUUCUACGCUGUAGGAAACGUUCUACACUAUGUCAGGAGCCUUCUCUACUAUGUCAGGACCCUUCUCCACUAUGUCAGGACCCUUCUACGCUAUGUCAGGACCCUUCUACACUAUGUCAGGACCCUUCUACACUUUAGGAAAUCUUCUACACUAGAAGAGAAAGAGAAAGAGGAAACAGAGAGGAGGAAAGAGAGAGAGAACGAGAGGAGGAGAGAGAGAGAGAGCGAGAGAGAGAGAGAGAGAGAGAGAGAUAGAAGGAAACAGAGAGAGGAGGAGAGAGAGAGAAAGAGAGAGAGAGAGGGGAGACAAGGAAGGAUAGAGGAGUGAGAGGAAGAUUGUGCCAGAACUCAGUGAGUGCAGCUAAAUCUCUCAGAGCUCAGUCAAUAAAACAGAGGGCUCUUAGAAAACAAACCCUUCUCCACUAUGUCAAGACCCUUCUACACUAUGUCAGGACCCUUCUACACUAUGUCAGGACCCUUUUACACUAUGUCAGGACACUUCUACACUAUGUCAGGACCCUUCUACACUAUGUCAGGACCCUUCUACACUAUGUCAGGACCCUUCUACACUAUGUCAGGACCCUUCUACACUAUGUCAGGACCCUUCUACACUAUGUCAGGACCCUUCUACACUGUCAUAACCCUUUUCCACUAUGUCAGGACCAUUUUACACUAUGUCAGGACCCUUCUACACUGUAGGAACCCUUCUACACUAUGUCAAGACACUUCUACACUAUGUCAGGACCCUUCUACACUAUGUCAGGACCCUUCUACACUAUGUCAGGACCCUUCUACACUAUGUCAGGACCCUUCUACACUGUCAUAACCCUUUUCCACUAUGUCAGGACCAUUUUACACUAUGUCAGGACCCUUCUACACUGUAGGAACCCUUCUACACUAUGUCAAGACACUUCUACACUAUGUCAGGUCAAUUCUACACUAUGUCAGGACCCUUCUACACUAUGUCAGGACCCUUUUACACUAUGUCAGGACCCUUCUAC